AUUGAACGCUGGCGGCAUGCCUUACACAUGCAAGUCGAACGGCAGCACGGGUGCUUGCACCUGGUGGCGAGUGGCGAACGGGUGAGUAAUACAUCGGAACAUGUCCUGUAGUGGGGGAUAGCCCGGCGAAAGCCGGAUUAAUACCGCAUACGAUCCACGGAUGAAAGCGGGGGACCUUCGGGCCUCGCGCUAUAGGGUUGGCCGAUGGCUGAUUAGCUAGUUGGUGGGGUAAAGGCCUACCAAGGCGACGAUCAGUAGCUGGUCUGAGAGGACGACCAGCCACACUGGGACUGAGACACGGCCCAGACUCCUACGGGAGGCAGCAGUGGGGAAUUUUGGACAAUGGGCGAAAGCCUGAUCCAGCAAUGCCGCAUGUGUGAAGAAGGCCUUCGGGUUGUAAAGCACUUUUGUCCGGAAAGAAAUCCUUGACUCUAAUACAGUCGGGGGAUGACGGUACCGGAAGAAUAAGCACCGGCUAACUACGUG
This 486-nucleotide ribosomal RNA is filed under the name uncultured bacterium. RNAcentral describes it as "partial 16S ribosomal RNA". It matches the Rfam family "Bacterial small subunit ribosomal RNA", at positions 30 to 507 of the family's 1533-position model. The record is from RNAcentral.